RNAcentral lists this ribosomal RNA (2109 nucleotides) under Salmonella enterica. RNAcentral's name for it is "partial 23S ribosomal RNA". It matches the Rfam family "Bacterial large subunit ribosomal RNA", at positions 711 to 2802 of the family's 2925-position model. Lineage: Bacteria; Pseudomonadati; Pseudomonadota; Gammaproteobacteria; Enterobacterales; Enterobacteriaceae. The record is from RNAcentral. RNAcentral also lists the same sequence under 1 other name.
AGACCCGAAACCCGGUGAUCUAGCCAUGGGCAGGUUGAAGGUUGGGUAACACUAACUGGAGGACCGAACCGACUAAUGUUGAAAAAUUAGCGGAUGACCUGUGGCUGGGGGUGAAAGGCCAAUCAAACCGGGAGAUAGCUGGUUCUCCCCGAAAGCUAUUUAGGUAGCGCCUCGUGAAUUCAUCUCCGGGGGUAGAGCACUGUUUCGGCUAGGGGGCCAUCCCGGCUUACCAACCCGAUGCAAACUGCGAAUACCGGAGAAUGUUAUCACGGGAGACACACGGCGGGUGCUAACGUCCGUCGUGAAGAGGGAAACAACCCAGACCGCCAGCUAAGGUCCCAAAGUCAUGGUUAAGUGGGAAACGAUGUGGGAAGGCCCAGACAGCCAGGAUGUUGGCUUAGAAGCAGCCAUCAUUUAAAGAAAGCGUAAUAGCUCACUGGUCGAGUCGGCCUGCGCGGAAGAUGUAACGGGGCUAAACCAUGCACCGAAGCUGCGGCAGCGACGCUGAUGCGUUGUUGGGUAGGGGAGCGUUCUGUAAGCCUGCGAAGGUGGCCUGUGAGGGUUGCUGGAGGUAUCAGAAGUGCGAAUGCUGACAUAAGUAACGAUAAAGCGGGUGAAAAGCCCGCUCGCCGGAAGACCAAGGGUUCCUGUCCAACGUUAAUCGGGGCAGGGUGAGUCGACCCCUAAGGCGAGGCCGAAAGGCGUAGUCGAUGGGAAACGGGUUAAUAUUCCCGUACUUGGUGUUACUGCGAAGGGGGGACGGAGAAGGCUAUGUUGGCCGGGCGACGGUUGUCCCGGUUUAAGCGUGUAGGCUGGUUUUCCAGGCAAAUCCGGAAAAUCAAGGCUGAGGCGUGACGACGAGGCACUACGGUGCUGAAGCAACAAAUGCCCUGCUUCCAGGAAAAGCCUCUAAGCAUCAGGUAACAUCAAAUCGUACCCCAAACCGACACAGGUGGUCAGGUAGAGAAUACCAAGGCGCUUGAGAGAACUCGGGUGAAGGAACUAGGCAAAAUGGUGCCGUAACUUCGGGAGAAGGCACGCUGACACGUAGGUGAAGUGAUUUACUCAUGGAGCUGAAGUCAGUCGAAGAUACCAGCUGGCUGCAACUGUUUAUUAAAAACACAGCACUGUGCAAACACGAAAGUGGACGUAUACGGUGUGACGCCUGCCCGGUGCCGGAAGGUUAAUUGAUGGGGUCAGCGCAAGCGAAGCUCCUGAUCGAAGCCCCGGUAAACGGCGGCCGUAACUAUAACGGUCCUAAGGUAGCGAAAUUCCUUGUCGGGUAAGUUCCGACCUGCACGAAUGGCGUAAUGAUGGCCAGGCUGUCUCCACCCGAGACUCAGUGAAAUUGAACUCGCUGUGAAGAUGCAGUGUACCCGCGGCAAGACGGAAAGACCCCGUGAACCUUUACUAUAGCUUGACACUGAACAUUGAGCCUUGAUGUGUAGGAUAGGUGGGAGGCUUUGAAGUGUGGACGCCAGUCUGCAUGGAGCCGACCUUGAAAUACCACCCUUUAAUGUUUGAUGUUCUAACGUGGACCCGUGAUCCGGGUUGCGGACAGUGUCUGGUGGGUAGUUUGACUGGGGCGGUCUCCUCCUAAAGAGUAACGGAGGAGCACGAAGGUUGGCUAAUCCUGGUCGGACAUCAGGAGGUUAGUGCAAUGGCAUAAGCCAGCUUGACUGCGAGCGUGACGGCGCGAGCAGGUGCGAAAGCAGGUCAUAGUGAUCCGGUGGUUCUGAAUGGAAGGGCCAUCGCUCAACGGAUAAAAGGUACUCCGGGGAUAACAGGCUGAUACCGCCCAAGAGUUCAUAUCGACGGCGGUGUUUGGCACCUCGAUGUCGGCUCAUCACAUCCUGGGGCUGAAGUAGGUCCCAAGGGUAUGGCUGUUCGCCAUUUAAAGUGGUACGCGAGCUGGGUUUAGAACGUCGUGAGACAGUUCGGUCCCUAUCUGCCGUGGGCGCUGGAGAACUGAGGGGGGCUGCUCCUAGUACGAGAGGACCGGAGUGGACGCAUCACUGGUGUUCGGGUUGUCAUGCCAAUGGCACUGCCCGGUAGCUAAAUGCGGAAGAGAUAAGUGCUGAAAGCAUCUAAGCACGAAACUUGCCCCGA